Molecule: long non-coding RNA, 237 nt
Filed under: Carica papaya (papaya)
Lineage: Eukaryota; Viridiplantae; Streptophyta; Magnoliopsida; Brassicales; Caricaceae
Description: long non-coding RNA (CPAP_LNC015560)
Source: RNAcentral
CGUUAUGCACGACUGGAACUAGGGUCCACUGGUUUAUACGCAAAUGUGAGUCAAGAAUGGGUGCUUGGGCGAGAGUAGCACUAGGAUGGGUGACCUCCUGCGAAGUCCUUAUAUUUUACCCAUUUUCUUAGGAAGUCCUCGUGUUGCACCCAUUUUUUUGCAGAUGAUUCUUUCGACGAUACACGCGACUUGAAUUUUGGUCCUCAGGUUUAUUCGCAAAUGUGAAUCACGGCACCG